RNAcentral lists this ribosomal RNA (757 nucleotides) under uncultured bacterium. RNAcentral's name for it is "bacterial SSU rRNA". It matches the Rfam family "Bacterial small subunit ribosomal RNA", at positions 8 to 796 of the family's 1533-position model. The record is from RNAcentral.
AGAGUUUGAUCAUGGCUCAGAAUCAACGCUGGCGGCGUGCCUAACACAUGCAAGUCGCACGAGAAAGGGUAGCAAUACCUGAGUACAGUGGCGCACGGGUGAGUAACACGUGAAUAAUCUACCUCCGAGUGGGGAAUAACUUAGGGAAACCUGAGCUAAUACCGCAUAACACUUACGAGUCAAAGCAGCAAUGCGCUUGGAGAGGAGUUCGCGGCAGAUUAGUUAGUUGGCGGGGUAAUGGCCCACCAAGACGAUGAUCUGUAUCCCGGCCUGAGAGGGCGCACGGACACACUGGAACUGAAACACGGUCCAGACUCCUACGGGAGGCAGCAGUGGGGAAUUUUGCGCAAUGGGGGAAACCCUGACGCAGCAACGCCGCGUGGAGGAUGAAAUCCCUUGGGAUGUAAACUCCUUUCGAUCGGGACGAUUAUGACGGUACCGGAAGAAGAAGCCCCGGCUAACUUCGUGCCAGCAGCCGCGGUAAUACGAGGGGGGCGAGCGUUGUUCGGAAUUAUUGGGCGUAAAGGGUGCGUAGGCGGUUUGAUAAGUCUGAUGUGAAAUCUAUGGGCUCAACCCAUAGUCUGCAUUAGAAACUGUCGGGCUUGAGUAUGGGAGAGGUGAGUGGAAUUUCCGGUGUAGCGGUGAAAUGCGUAGAUAUCGGAAGGAACACCUGUGGCGAAAGCGGCUCACUGGACCAUUACUGACGCUGAUGCACGAAAGCUAGGGGAGCAAACAGGAUUAGAUACCCUAGUAGUCC